This 1082-nucleotide long non-coding RNA is filed under the name Nicotiana tabacum (common tobacco). RNAcentral describes it as "long non-coding RNA (NTAB_LNC008333)". The record is from RNAcentral. Lineage: Eukaryota; Viridiplantae; Streptophyta; Magnoliopsida; Solanales; Solanaceae.
ACAGAAAUAAAGAUGCAACAAAGCAACGGGGAACGAUCAAGGUCACCGAACCGAACGUCAUUUCCGAACUAACAAUUGUUCUUUGUCUGAAAAGUUGAAACAGGUAUAAUCCAAGACAACCAUGCAAGAAGCAGGUGUCGCCCAAAGAAGAAGGUACAUGGGUACAAGAAAUAUUUUGGCAAUAAGGAAUUCACUCGAAAGGUAAGUUUCUACGAGACUCCCUUUAAUCUUCUACUAAAACAAGAAAAUUCAAAAAAGAGGUCGGUUAGUAUUCUCGAACUUUGUCCCCAGCCAGUCAGCAUUAGGGUUUUAAACCCUAAACUGAACUUUUUCCUUUAGUCAGCAUUAGGGUUUUAAACCCUAAACUGAACUCUUUCCAUUUAGUCACCAUUAGGGUUUUAAAACCCUAAACUGAACUCUUUCCUUCCAGUCAGCAUUAGGGUUUUAAACCCUAAAUUGAACUUUUUCCUUUAGUCAGCAUUAGGGUUUUAAACCCUAAACUGAACUUUUCCUUUCAGUCAACAUUAGGGUUUUAAACCCUAAACUGAACUCUUUCCUUCCAGUCAGCAUUAGGGUUUUAAACCCUAAACUGAACUUUUUCCUUUAGUCAGCAUUAGGGUUUUAAACCCUAAACUGAACUUUCCAAUCAGUCAGCAUUAGAGUUUUAAACCCUAAACUGAACUUUUUUCAUUCAGUCAGCAUUAGGGUUUUAAACCCUAAACUGAACUUUUUCCUUUAGUCAGCAUUAGGGUUUUAAACCCUAAACUGAACUCUUUCCUUCCAGUCAGCAUUAGGGUUUUAAACCCCUAAACUGAACCUUUUCCUUCAGUCAGCAUUAGGGUUUUAAACCUUAAACUGAACUUUUUUCUUUAGUCAGCAUUAGGGUUAUAAACCCUAAACUGAACACUUUCCUUCCAGUCAGCAUUAGGUUUUUAAACCCAAAACUGAACUUUUUGCUUCAGUUAGCAUUAGGGUUUUAAACCCUAAACUGAACUUUUUCCUUUAGUCAGCAUUAGAGUUUUAAACCCUAAACUGAACUUUUCCUUUCAGUCAGCAUUAGAGUUUUAAACCCUAAACUGAAC